CAGCAGCCGCGGGAAUACGAAGGGUGCAAGCGUUAAUCGGAAUUACUGGGCGUAAAGCGUGCGUAGGCGGUGAGUUAAGUCUGCUGUGAAAUCCCCGGGCUCAACCUGGGAAUGGCAGUGGAUACUGGCUCGCUAGAGUGUGUCAGAGGAUGGUGGAAUUCCCGGUGUAGCGGUGAAAUGCGUAGAGAUCGGGAGGAACAUCAGUGGCGAAGGCGGCCAUCUGGGACAACACUGACGCUGAGGCACGAAAGCGUGGGGAGCAAACAGGAUUAGAUACCCGUGUAGUCCCUGUCUCUUAUAC
Molecule: ribosomal RNA, 301 nt
Filed under: uncultured bacterium
Lineage: Bacteria
Description: partial 16S ribosomal RNA
Rfam family: Bacterial small subunit ribosomal RNA
Source: RNAcentral